CACGUAGGGCGCAAGCGUUGUCCGGAAUUAUUGGGCGUAAAGAGCUCGUAGGCGGUCUGUUGCGUCCGCUGUGAAAACUCGGGGCUUAACCCCGAGCCUGCAGUGGAUACGGGCAGACUAGAGGUAGGUAGGGGAGAAUGGAAUUCCCGGUGUAGCGGUGAAAUGCGCAGAUAUCAGGAGGAACACCGGUGGCGAAGGCGGCAUCCUGGACCGGCACUGACGCUGAGGCACGAAGGCCAGGGGAGCAAACGGG
Molecule: ribosomal RNA, 253 nt
Filed under: uncultured bacterium
Lineage: Bacteria
Description: partial 16S ribosomal RNA
Rfam family: Bacterial small subunit ribosomal RNA
Source: RNAcentral